Molecule: long non-coding RNA, 253 nt
Organism: Chenopodium quinoa (quinoa)
Lineage: Eukaryota; Viridiplantae; Streptophyta; Magnoliopsida; Caryophyllales; Amaranthaceae
Exons: 2
Source: RefSeq, a predicted model, not a curated record
UAUUUUUCAUUCUCUCUCUCUUAGCUCUCUGAAAUUCCUUAUCUCUGAAUGCAUGCAUGCCUCUCUCCUUCAAUUCCUUAUCUCUGAUCUCAUCUUUGUUCUUCUCUCUCCAACCAAACACAAUAGCCAACACAACAACCAAGCCGCUGCCGUCAAAUUUGAGAUUUGAAGGACGUGAAUUUGCUGAGUUGAUGUUCGAAGUUUCUGGGUUUUGGAUUGUAAUUUAUUUUUCAGCAAUUUUUCUGUUUUUUUU